GAUGAACGCUGGCGGCGUGCCUAAUACAUGCAAGUCGAGCGAACGGACGAGAAGCUUGCUUCUCUGAUGUUAGCGGCGGACGGGUGAGUAACACGUGGAUAACCUACCUAUAAGACUGGGAUAACUUCGGGAAACCGGAGCUAAUACCGGAUGAUAUUUUGAACCGCAUGGUUCAAAAGUGAAAGACGGUCUUGCUGUCACUUAUAGAUGGAUCCGCGCUGCAUUAGCUAGUUGGUAAGGUAACGGCUUACCAAGGCAACGAUGCAUAGCCGACCUGAGAGGGUGAUCAGCCACACUGGAACUGAGACACGGUCCAGACUCCUACGGGAGGCAGCAGUAGGGAAUCUUCCGCAAUGGGCGAAAGCCUGACGGAGCAACGCCGCGUGAGUGAUGAAGGUCUUCGGAUCGUAAAACUCUGUUAUUAGGGAAGAACAUAUGUGUAAGUAACUGUGCACAUCUUGACGGUACCUAAUCAGAAGGCCACGGCUAACUACGUG
This 497-nucleotide ribosomal RNA is filed under the name uncultured bacterium. Its description in RNAcentral is "partial 16S ribosomal RNA". It matches the Rfam family "Bacterial small subunit ribosomal RNA", at positions 28 to 507 of the family's 1533-position model. The record is from RNAcentral.